RNAcentral lists this ribosomal RNA (253 nucleotides) under uncultured bacterium. RNAcentral describes it as "partial 16S ribosomal RNA". It matches the Rfam family "Bacterial small subunit ribosomal RNA", at positions 524 to 776 of the family's 1533-position model. The record is from RNAcentral.
UACGAAGGGGGCUAGCGUUGCUCGGAAUCACUGGGCGUAAAGCGCACGUAGGCGGACUCUUAAGUCGGUGGUGAAAUCCUGGAGCUCAACUCCAGAACUGCCUUUGAUACUGGCAACCUAGAGACUGGAAGAGGUUAGUGGAAUUCCCAGUGUAGAGGUGAAAUUCGUAGAUAUUGGGAAGAACACCAGUGGCGAAGGCGGCUAACUGGUCCAGUACUGACGCUGAGGUGCGAAAGCGUGGGGAGCAAACAGG